RNAcentral lists this ribosomal RNA (525 nucleotides) under Triticum aestivum (bread wheat). Its description in RNAcentral is "partial small subunit ribosomal RNA". The record is from RNAcentral. Lineage: Eukaryota; Viridiplantae; Streptophyta; Magnoliopsida; Poales; Poaceae.
AUGCGUGGAAAGAGAACGAAAAGAGGCUCUGUUCGCAGCUGCAAGCUCCCAAAACAUACUCCUCGGAGGAAGGAAAUCUGGGAGCCUCUUUGCUGCCUGUGCGGCCGCCGCUCCUCCGGCUCCUUGCCGGCAUGCUGCGGGGAGAGCUCCCCGACCUUGCUGCGUUGGCCGUCACAGGCAGGAGCUCCCCGAUCCCCGCCCCUCCCCCACAGGCCCGCCUCAGCUCCAGCCCCGUCGAAUCGCCGCUCCGCUCCCCUGAGGCGAAGAGCCCGCUGUCCCUUGGGCGAGAUUCACCCACCUGCCUCUAUGGGAGAGCUUGAGCAGACGUACCUCGCUGCCGUCGAGGCCACCACGGCCGCCUGCAUGUGUGACGAGGAGGGGGAGGAUCUCCUGGUGGAGCUUGGCAGCAGGAGGGAGUCGGGAGGAGGAGAUCUCACAGAGCCGAUGGUUCCGAGUCCGCACUUAAUCACCGAUUCACCGGAUCUGCAGGUUCAAGAAAACAAGCAUGACAAACCUGUCCUCUGA